RNAcentral lists this ribosomal RNA (251 nucleotides) under uncultured bacterium. Its description in RNAcentral is "partial 16S ribosomal RNA". It matches the Rfam family "Bacterial small subunit ribosomal RNA", at positions 524 to 776 of the family's 1533-position model. The record is from RNAcentral.
UACGGAGGAUGCGAGCGUUAUCCGGAUUUAUUGGGUUUAAAGGGUGCGCAGGCGGCGUGUCAAGUCAGCGGUAAAAUGUCGGGGCUCAACCCCGGCCGGCCGUUGAAACUGGCGUGCUCGAGUUGGAGAGAAGUAUGCGGAAUUCGUGGUGUAGCGGUGAAUGCAUAGAUAUCACGAAGAACCCCGAUUGCGAAGGCAGCAUACCGGCUCCACACUGACGCUGAGGCACGAAAGCGUGGGUAUCGAACAGG